UACAGAGGGGGCGAGCGUUGUUCGGAAUUACUGGGCGUAAAGGGCGCGUAGGCGGCCUCUUAAGUCGAACGUGAAAUCCCCGGGCUCAACCCGGGAACUGCGUCCGAUACUGGGGGGCUUGAAUCCGGGAGAGGGAUGUGGAAUUCCAGGUGUAGCGGUGAAAUGCGUAGAUAUCUGGAGGAACACCGGUGGCGAAGGCGGCAUCCUGGACCGGUAUUGACGCUGAGGCGCGAAAGCCAGGGGAGCAAACGGG
RNAcentral lists this ribosomal RNA (253 nucleotides) under uncultured bacterium. Its description in RNAcentral is "partial 16S ribosomal RNA". It matches the Rfam family "Bacterial small subunit ribosomal RNA", at positions 524 to 776 of the family's 1533-position model. The record is from RNAcentral.